Molecule: ribosomal RNA, 906 nt
Filed under: uncultured Bacillota bacterium
Lineage: Bacteria; Bacillati; Bacillota
Description: bacterial SSU rRNA
Rfam family: Bacterial small subunit ribosomal RNA
Source: RNAcentral
UGAUCCAGACUUUGAUUCUGGCUCAGGAUAAACGCUGGCGGCGCACAUAAGACAUGCAAGUCGAACGGACUUAACCAUUAGUUUACUAUUGGAGCGGUUAGUGGCGGACUGGUGAGUAACACGUAAGCAACCUGCCUAUCAGAGGGGAACAACAGUUAGAAAUGACUGCUAAUACCGCAUAUGCCUAAGUACCACAUGGUACAAUAGGGAAAGGAGCAAUCCGCUGAUAGAUGGGCUUGCGUCUGAUUAGAUAGUUGGUGGGGUAAAGGCCUACCAAGUCGACGAUCAGUAGCCGGACUGAGAGGUUGAACGGCCACAUUGGGACUGAGAUACGGCCCAGACUCCUACGGGAGGCAGCAGUCGGGAAUAUUGCGCAAUGGAGGAAACUCUGACGCAGUGACGUCGCGUGCAGGAAGAAGGUUUUCGGAUUGUAAACUGCUUUAGACAGGGAAGAAACAAGACAGUACCUGUAGAAUAAGCUCCGGCUAACUACGUGCCAGCAGCCGCGGUAAUACGUAGGGAGCGAGCGUUAUCCGGAUUUAUUGGGUGUAAAGGGUGCGUAGACGGGAGAACAAGUUAGUUGUGAAAUCCCUCGGCUUAACUGAGGAACUGCAACUAAAACUAUUUUUCUUGAGUACUGGAGAGGAAAGUGGAAUUCCUAGUGUAGCGGUGAAAUGCGUAGAUAUUAGGAGGAACACCAGUGGCGAAGGCGACUUUCUGGACAGAAACUGACGUUGAGGCACGAAAGUGUGGGGAGCAAACAGGAUUAGAUACCCUGGUAGUCCACACUGUAAACGAUGGAUAUUAGGUGUAGGGAAUAAUAAAUUCUCUGUGCCGUCGCAAACGCAAUAAGUAUCCCACCUGGGGAGUACGGCCGCAAGGUUGCAACUCAAAUGAAUUGACGGA